This 854-nucleotide ribosomal RNA is filed under the name uncultured Clostridia bacterium. Its description in RNAcentral is "bacterial SSU rRNA". It matches the Rfam family "Bacterial small subunit ribosomal RNA", at positions 28 to 896 of the family's 1533-position model. Lineage: Bacteria; Bacillati; Bacillota; Clostridia. The record is from RNAcentral.
GAUGAACGCUGGCGGCGUGCCUAACACUUGCAAGUCGAGCGCGUCUGAUUUGAUGCUUGCAUUGAUGAAAGAUGAGCGGCGGACGGGUGAGUAACGCGUGGGUAACCUGCCCUAUACACAUGGAUAACAUACUGAAAAGUUUACUAAUACAUGAUAAUAUAUAUUUACGGCAUCGUAGAUAUAUCAAAGUGUUAGCGGUAUAGGAUGGACCCGCGUCUGAUUAGCUAGUUGGUGAGAUAACUGCCCACCAAGGCGACGAUCAGUAGCCGACCUGAGAGGGUGAUCGGCCACAUUGGAACUGAGACACGGUCCAAACUCCUACGGGAGGCAGCAGUGGGGAAUAUUGCACAAUGGGCGCAAGCCUGAUGCAGCAACGCCGCGUGAACGAUGAAGGUCUUCGGAUCGUAAAGUUCUGUUGCAGGGGAAGAUAAUGACGGUACCCUGUGAGGAAGCCCCGGCUAACUACGUGCCAGCAGCCGCGGUAAUACGUAGGGGGCUAGCGUUAUCCGGAUUUACUGGGCGUAAAGGGUGCGUAGGUGGUCUUUCAAGUCGGUGGUUAAAGGCUACGGCUCAACCGUAGUUAGCCUCCGAAACUGGAAGACUUGAGUGCAGGAGAGGAAAGUGGAAUUCCCAGUGUAGCGGUGAAAUGCGUAGAUAUUGGAGGAACACCAGUAGCGAAGGCGGCUUUCUGGACUGCAACUGACACUGAGGCACGAAAGCGUGGGUAGCAAACAGGAUUAGAUACCCUGGUAGUCCACGCUGUNAACGAUGAGUACUAGGUGUCGGGGGUUACCCCCUCGGUGCCCGCAGCUACGCAUUAAGUACUCCGCCUGGNGAGUACGCACGNCAGUGUG